GCUGGGUGUGGUGGUACAUGCCUGUAAUCCCAGCAGCUUGGGAGCCCGAGGCAGGAGUAUCGCAAGUUCAAGGCCGGCCUCAGCAACUUAGCAAGGCCCUAAGCAACUUAGUGAGACCCUGUCUCAA
Molecule: small RNA, 127 nt
Filed under: Marmota monax (woodchuck)
Lineage: Eukaryota; Metazoa; Chordata; Mammalia; Rodentia; Sciuridae
Source: RNAcentral